GUCAUUAGCCUAUAGUAAAUGUGCAUGUUUAAAUGCGCUUUAUUACCCUCUAUUAAGCCGGUUUUCCACUAGCGAAUUUUUCCGCGCGAAGCGACCUUUUUCCUUUGUCAGCAUCUAUUUUGCAGCCCUCGAAAAGUCAAAACAGUCAAAAUUGAGGUCGGCAAAAAAGGGCCGACCUAAAUCUGACCUAGGUCGGCACAUCUCGGC
This is a non-coding RNA of Paramuricea clavata, 207 nucleotides long. Lineage: Eukaryota; Metazoa; Cnidaria; Anthozoa; Malacalcyonacea; Plexauridae. The record is from the annotation of a GenBank genome assembly.